This 327-nucleotide ribosomal RNA is filed under the name uncultured eukaryote. RNAcentral describes it as "partial 18S ribosomal RNA". It matches the Rfam family "Eukaryotic small subunit ribosomal RNA", at positions 1470 to 1796 of the family's 1831-position model. The record is from RNAcentral.
CCCUUAGAUGUUCUGGGCCGCACACGCGCUACACUGAAGGAGGCAGCGUGUACUCCUGGAUCGAAAGAUUUGGGUAACCCGCGAAUCUCCUUCGUGCUAGGGAUUGAGGUUUGCAAUUAUCCUUCAUGAACGAGGAAUUCCCAGUAAGUGCAAGUCAUAAGCUUGCGCUGACUACGUCCCUGCCCUUUGUACACACCGCCCGUCGCUACUACCGAUUGAAUGAUCUAGUGAGGACUUCGGACUGGGACCGAUGCGGCUUUCGGGCUGCGUCGGUAUUCUGGAAAGAUGUCCAAACUGUAUCAUUUAGAGGAAGUAAAAGUCGUAACA